RNAcentral lists this ribosomal RNA (3191 nucleotides) under Actinomyces oris. RNAcentral's name for it is "bacterial LSU rRNA". It matches the Rfam family "Bacterial large subunit ribosomal RNA". The record is from RNAcentral. Lineage: Bacteria; Bacillati; Actinomycetota; Actinomycetes; Actinomycetales; Actinomycetaceae.
GUUGUUUGUUUUUUUGAGCGUUCGGUGGAUGCCUUGGCAUCAGGGGCCGAUGAAGGACGUGGUGGCCUGCGAUAUUCCUCGGGGAGCCGGCUGGCGGGCUGUGAUCCGAGGGUUUCCGAAUGGGGGGACCCGGCACGAGUUAUGUCGUGUCACCUGCAUCUGAAUUGUAUAGGGUGUGGGGGGUGACGCGGGGAAGUGAAACAUCUCAGUACCCGUAGGAGAAGAUAUUCCGUGAGUAGUGGCGAGCGAAAGCGGAUGAUGGUUAAACCGUGUGCGUGUGAUACUCGGCAGGGGUUGCGUGUGCGGGGUUGUGGGGCUGUCCUGUUUCUCUUCUGCCGGAGAGGGGGCGCGUGUGCUGAUCUGUAGCUGAAUCGUCUGGGAAGGCGUGGCGUAGUGGGUGAUACCCCCGUAGGCGGAACUGGUUGGUGCGUGUCUGGGACAGUGUUGCCCGAGUAGCACGGGGCUCGUGGAAUCCUGUGUGAAUCUGCCAAGACCACUUGGCUGCCUGAAUACCUCCUGAUGACCGAUAGUGGAUAGUACCGUGAGGGAAUGGUGAAAAGUACCCCGGGAGGGGAGUGAAAUAGUACCUGAAACCGGGCGCUUACAAGCCGUCAGAGCCUUCAUGCGCUUUUGGUGUGUGGGGGUGGUGGCGUGCCUUUUGAAGAAUGAGCCUGCGAGUCAGUGGCGUGUCGCGAGGUUAACCCGUGUGGGGUAGCCGUAGCGAGAGCGAGUCCGAAUAGGGCGUUUGUAGUGGCGCGUUCUGGACCCGAAGCGGGGUGAUCUACCCAUGGCCAGGUUGAAGCACGUGUAAGAGCGUGUGGAGGACCGAACCCACCUAGGUUGAAAACUGGGGGGAUGAGCUGUGGGUAGGGGUGAAAGGCCAAUCAAACUCCGUGAUAGCUGGUUCUCCCCGAAAUGCAUUUAGGUGCAGCGUCGCGUGUUGCCCGGCGGAGGUAGAGCUACUGGGUGGCUGAUGGGCCCCACAGGGUUACUGACGUCAACCAAACUCCGAAUGCCGUCGGGUUGUAGCGUGGCAGUGAGACCGCGGGGGAUAAGCUCCGUGGUCGAGAGGGAAACAGCCCAGAUCGCCGGCUAAGGCCCCUAAGCGUGUGCUAAGUGGGAAAGGAUGUGCGGUCGCGCAGACAACCAGGAGGUUGGCUUAGAAGCAGCCAUCCUUGAAAGAGUGCGUAAUAGCUCACUGGUCAAGUGAUCGUGCGCCGACAAUGUAGCGGGGCUCAAGCACACCGCCGAAGCCGCGGACCCAUGACGUUGUUCCCUUCACUGUCCGGCUUGUCCGGGUGGUGGCAGGGGUUGUGGGUGGUAGGGGAGCGUCCUGCACCGGGGGAAGCCUGUGGGUGACUGCUGGUGGACGGUGCGGGAGUGAGAAUGCAGGCAUGAGUAGCGAUACUAGGGUGAGAAGCCCUAGCGCCGAAUGACCAAGGGUUCCAGGGCCAGGCUAGUCCGCCCUGGGUGAGUCGGGACCUAAGGCGAGGCCGACAGGCGUAGUCGAUGGAUGACGGGUUGAUAUUCCCGUACCGGCGAAGCACCGCCCAUGCUGACGCGCGGGUGCUAACCCACGCCCAGCCGCCAUAAAGGCCGCAUGUGUCAGGUUCGCCUGACGGUGUGGUUGUGGUGGUGGGGUCUGGGGAUCCUCCGUGCAGGUAGGCAAGCGUGUUAACAGGGGUGACGCACAGUGGUAGCCCGGCGGACCUGAUGGCUUGGUCCGUUCAAGCGCGCAGCCCGUCUCCCAGGUAAAUCCGGGGGACUGUCUUUGAUGACGGGGGUGAGGCGUGAUGGUGACCUCACACUGGUGGGGGAUAACAGGGUGAUCCUGGGGUGCCGAGAAAAGCCUCGACGCGAUGGUGCCAGCCGCCCGUACCCUAAACCGACACAGGUGGUCGGGCAGAGUAUGCCUAGGCGCACGAGUGAAUCAUGGUUAAGGAACUCGGCAAAAUGCCCCCGUAACUUCGGGAGAAGGGGGGCCUGAUCCCUGAAGCCCCGUCGCGGGCUAGGGGGGAGGGUCGCAGAGGCCAGGGGGAAGCGACUGUUUACUAAAAACACAGGUCCGUGCGAAGCCGUAAGGCGAUGUAUACGGACUGACGCCUGCCCGGUGCUGGAAGGUUAAGAGGAACCAUCAACCCCCUUGUGGGGUGAAGUGGUGAAUUUAAGCCCCAGUAAACGGCGGUGGUAACUAUAACCAUCCUAAGGUAGCGAAAUUCCUUGUCGGGUAAGUUCCGACCUGCACGAAUGGCGUAACGACUUCCCCGCUGUCUCAACCAUGAGCUCGGCGAAAUUGCAGUACGAGUAAAGAUGCUCGUUUCGCGCAGAAGGACGGAAAGACCCCGGGACCUUUACUACAGCUUGGUAUUGGCGCCCGCUAUAGCUUGUGCAGGAUAGGUGGGAGACUGUGAAGCCGUUACGCCAGUGGUGGUGGAGUCGUCCUUGAAAUACCACUCUGGUUAUGGCGUGCGCCUGAACCUGGGCCCGUGAUCCGGGUUAGGGACAGUGCCUGGUGGGUAGUUUAACUGGGGCGGUUGCCUCCUAAAGUGUAACGGAGGCGCUCAAAGGUUCCCUCAGCCUGGUCGGCAACCAGGUGUUGAGUGCAAGUGCACAAGGGAGCUUGACUGUGAGACCGACGGGUCGAGCAGGUACGAAAGUAGGAACUAGUGAUCCGGCGAUCCCGUGUGGGUGGGUCGUCGCUCAACGGAUAAAAGGUACCCCGGGGAUAACAGGCUGAUCCUGCCCAAGAGUCCAUAUCGACGGCAUGGUUUGGCACCUCGAUGUCGGCUCGUCGCAUCCUGGGGCUGGAGCAGGUCCCAAGGGUUGGGCUGUUCGCCCAUUAAAGCGGUACGCGAGCUGGGUUUAGAACGUCGUGAGACAGUUCGGUCCCUAUCCUCUGCGCGCGCAGGAGACUUGAGAAGGCCUGUCCCUAGUACGAGAGGACCGGGACGGACGAACCUCUGGUGUGCCAGUUGUCCCGCCCGGGGCACGGCUGGUUGGCUACGUUCGGGAAGGGUAACCGCUGAAAGCAUCUAAGCGGGAAACCAUCUUCAAGAUAAGGUCUCCACAGAACACCUCGGUGUUCUGGGAGGCCCCCAGCAGACUACUGGGUUGAUAGGCCAGAAGUGGAAGACCGGCAACGGUUUGUGAGCUGACUGGUACUAAUAGGCCGACACAAACAACAACACCCC